Molecule: ribosomal RNA, 465 nt
Filed under: Bathelium madreporiforme
Lineage: Eukaryota; Fungi; Ascomycota; Dothideomycetes; Trypetheliales; Trypetheliaceae
Description: eukaryotic LSU rRNA
Rfam family: Eukaryotic large subunit ribosomal RNA
Source: RNAcentral
CCGGCCGAGUUGUAAUUUACAGAGGAUGCUUUGGAUUCUGUCUGGUGUAAAGUCCUUUGGAACAGGGCGCCGUGGAGGAUGAAAGUUCCGUACGCAUCAGAUCCAGUUUCCAUGUAAAGCUCCUUCAAAGAGUCGAGUUGUUUGGGAAUGCAGCUCUAAGUGGGAGGUAAAUUUCUUCCAAAGCUAAAUACCGGCUAGAGACCGAUAGCGCACAAGUAGAGUGAUCGAAAGAUGAAAAGCACUUUGAAAAGAGAGUUAAAAAGCACGUGAAAUUGUUGAAAGGGAAGCUUAUGUCAUCAGACUUGACGCUGAAGUUCAGCCUUUUGGUGUAUUCUUUGGUAUCAGGCUAGCAUCAAUUUGAACAGCUGGAUAAAAGCUUCGGGAAUGUAGCUCUUCGGAGUGUUAUAGCCUGAUGCAGAAUGCGGCUUGUUCAGAUUGAGGUCCGCUUCUGAGGAUGCUGGCGUA